UGGGUGAUGGCGCAACUGGUUAGCGCAUCUCUCUGAUAAGGAGAAGGUUCUGGGUUCAAGUCCCAGUCACCCAA
This 74-nucleotide transfer RNA is filed under the name Caudoviricetes sp. RNAcentral's name for it is "tRNA-Ile". It matches the Rfam family "tRNA". Rfam says of the family: Transfer RNA (tRNA) molecules are approximately 80 nucleotides in length. Their secondary structure includes four short double-helical elements and three loops (D, anti-codon, and T loops). Further hydrogen bonds mediate the characteristic L-shaped molecular structure. tRNAs have two regions of fundamental functional importance: the anti-codon, which is responsible for specific mRNA codon recognition, and the 3' end, to which the tRNAs corresponding amino acid is attached (by aminoacyl-tRNA synthetases). tRNAs cope with the degeneracy of the genetic code in two manners: having more than one tRNA (with a specific anti-codon) for a particular amino acid; and 'wobble' base-pairing, i.e. permitting non-standard base-pairing at the 3rd anti-codon position. The record is from RNAcentral. Lineage: Duplodnaviria; Heunggongvirae; Uroviricota; Caudoviricetes.